Microcebus murinus (gray mouse lemur) is the source of this 2076-nucleotide non-coding RNA. The record is from RefSeq and is a predicted model, not a curated record. Lineage: Eukaryota; Metazoa; Chordata; Mammalia; Primates; Cheirogaleidae.
ACGCCACGGCACUCUAGCUGGGGCAACAGAGUGAGACUCCAAAAAGAAAAAGAAAGUGAAACCUUUCCUAAUUCUCCACCCUAAGUUGAUGUACCACAUUCUAGACUUUUCCCUCUGCACAGGUGAGCAUUUAUUUCUAAAUUUUUACAAACGUGGGAUGAUGCCCUACAUGCUAGCAACUUGCUCAGUUUCGGUACGCUGUGGGUGUCCCUCCACGCCGGCACCUCCCGCCCGGCUCUCCCUCCCGAGCGGCUGCCAGCUGUCCCGCAGCACGGGAGCCGCCUCCCUGAGAGGGACACCCAGCUAUUCCUGCCUCCCCGCCCCUCCCGGCAAGGCUCCAUGAACAUCCUCCUACUCAUGCCGUCAGGGACACCUGAGGGCAUUUCUGCAGGACGAACCCCUGCCUGUGGAAUUGCAGGCAUGACGGCACAUUUGACAAGCUGUCACCUCACUGCCAAAUUGCCCUCUCGUUAUUUUGAGAAUUAACCCCAAAGAGACGAAGGGGAACACAUAACCCCUUCCCCUGCCUUCCCCUCUUUGGGGACUCUCUUCUUGAACCAGGUGGCUGUGGGUGGCCACUGUGACGUCACAGGUGUGGGGGAGGGGGAGGGCCAAGCACACCGUGUCACUGCCCUGCCAGGACCUCAGGGGACUGGACGUCCUUUUGUGAUUCUCCGGGGAUCAUCUCUCGGCCAGAGGCCACACCCAGCAGAACUGGGGCAGCCGGCAGGGAGAGGCCGGGCGUCACUUUAAAGAUCGCAACACAAUUCCACGAGUUUAGAAUUGGAAAAAGACAAUAAGAGAGUUUCAUCAUCCGAACCAUUUGUUUGCCAUUCCUGUAUUCAUUCAACAGAGAUCUGGGUUCCUUUCCUUUUAUAGUUCUCAGCACUGGGGUGGCCACAGCGAACGAAGUCCCUGGCCUCUCUGAACUGUCAUUCUCCUUGUGGGGGAGGGGGCACAGAUGUCACACGAUAAGUAUCAGUGAGUGGCAAGUGCUGUAUUAUUUAGGGUAACAGCCAGCUGCUGCAAUAAACGCACCCCAACACUUCAGGCUCCGUGACCCUAGCCAAGGCCGAGUGUCCCCAGGGCUCAGCUCUGGAUCUUCCUCCUCCCAGGACUCAUGACUUAUUUCUGGGAUGAUCUGACCAGGGCCCGUCCCCUCCGCUGGGCCUAGAGUUCCCAGGCUCGUUUCUUCCUCUGUGGCCACAGCGGCCCCCUCGCAGUCCCAGGCUUUCCUCGUCCCCGAACAGACAGAGACUCUCACCAUCCAGGUGUCAGCUCACUGUCCCCUCCCGUGUGCGGCCGCCACCGGGCCUUGUGUUCUCCUGGGCACGUGUGGCGGGGGGCGAGAGGAACCCCAAAGUGUCACAGGCCCUGUCCACAGGCGGGGACUUGCCUACAAGCGAGGGGGGCGGGCGUCAUGGGGCCAGUGACGUGGGAAUAGAAGUGGAGCCUGUCACUGCAGGGCCGAGGCCGUCACUGAUUGCUCUCCCUCCGUCCAGUGGCUGCACGUGGACGCUCGGGACACGCUGGGAGCCACGUGGCCAAGAAGGCAGAGCUGCGGUCGGCCGGGGUCCCCGAAUGGCUGUGUGGACACGGCCACUGGCUCCCUCCUGCUGGAACACUCGCACGGGACAGGGGUGGCUCCGGCUUAGCACUCAGCUCUCGGCUCAAAGGUCACCUCCUCCAAAAGGCAUCUCCCCAGGCCCUCCAGAAACCUUCCAGUCAUUCCCUGUCUCCUCGACGGAGUCUCCCCGCAUUUGUGAGAGGUUUCAGUCUCUACCCAGUCCCUUCGGCAGGGAGCUUGGAGCAGUCCACAGACCGCACCACCAUCCUGGGCAGCCCUGAUCUUGGACUAGGAGGCAACGUUGAGGGUGAAAAGCAUUUGCUGAAGGCAGAGCUGAAAGCUGAAAGAAGCCUGGAUCUUUGAUAAAGAAUCACUCGAGAGCAGCGGACAGACACGACGGCAUCACCCCUCAAUACUCCGGCGGGUGUACCCCCCGACGAGGGCACUCUAACACCGCCCACAUCACCUCUGACUUCUUAAGGAAGACAUAAAACUCCUUCCCAAGUGAC